AGUGAACGCUGGCGGCAGGCCUAAUACAUGCAAGUCGAACGGCAGCACAGCAGAGCUUGCUCUGUGGGUGGCGAGUGGCGGACGGGUGAGGAAUACAUGGGAAUCUGCCCAGUCGUGGGGGAUAACGUAGGGAAACUUACGCUAAUACCGCAUGCGCCCUUCGGGGGAAAGCCGGGGACCUUCGGGCCUGGCGCGAUUGGAUGAGCCCAUGUCGGAUUAGCUAGUUGGCGGGGUAAUGGCCCACCAAGGCGACGAUCCGUAGCUGGUCUGAGAGGAUGAUCAGCCACACUGGAACUGAGACACGGUCCAGACUCCUACGGGAGGCAGCAGUAGGGAAUAUUGGACAAUGGGCGCAAGCCUGAUCCAGCCAUGCCGCGUGAGUGAAGAAGGCCCUCGGGUUGUAAAGCUCUUUUGUCCGGAAAGAAAAGCGCCGGGUUAAUACCCUGGUGUCCUGACGGUACCGGAAGAAUAAGCACCGGCUAACUUCGUGCC
Molecule: ribosomal RNA, 492 nt
Filed under: uncultured bacterium
Lineage: Bacteria
Description: bacterial SSU rRNA
Rfam family: Bacterial small subunit ribosomal RNA
Source: RNAcentral